RNAcentral lists this transfer-messenger RNA (355 nucleotides) under Hyphomicrobiales bacterium. It matches the Rfam family "Alphaproteobacteria transfer-messenger RNA". From Rfam's summary of the family: Bacterial tmRNA, also known as 10Sa RNA or SsrA, is named for its dual tRNA and mRNA-like properties. Its role is to liberate the mRNA from a stalled ribosome. The record is from RNAcentral. Lineage: Bacteria; Pseudomonadati; Pseudomonadota; Alphaproteobacteria; Hyphomicrobiales.
AGUCUUGAAUGCCGCGGCGAUCCCUCUAUAUUGGAGGGGUCAGCCGCAAGGCCGACUAUGGUGAUAAACGACUAACGCAAUAAACCCAUUGGACCCGGGGGCAGUACCCGGCGCCUCCACCAAUCUUCCGGUUCGAGCACCGGGCGCUGGGGGCGAAACAGGAUCGACAAGGGCGUAAAGGUUGGUUUUUUGCCCGCGAUUGUACCGGCGUUAUCGGGCUACUUUAUAGUUGCCAAUGACAACUAUGCUCCGGUUGCCGUCGCUGCGUAACGCAGUGCCGAAUACCGAUUCAAAGUCCUCAGGCUUUGCCGCUUGAGGCGGGGUCCGCCGGCACCUGGCAACAGAAGCCGGCACU